GUGCCAGCAGCCGCGGUAAUACCCGCAGCACAAGUGGUGGUCAUUAUUAUUGGGCCUAAAGCGUCCGUAGCUGGCCUGCUAGAUGCCUGGGUAAAUCGAAGCGCUCAACGUUUCGAAUUCCGGGUAGACCGGCAGGCUCGAGACCGGGAGAGGUGUGGGCUACUCGAGGGGUAGGGGUAAAAUCCUGUAAUCCUUCGGGGAGGACCAGUGGCGAAGGCGCCACACUUGAACGGCUCUGACAGUGAGGGACGAAGCCCUGGGGCGCAAACCGGAUUAGAAACCCCUGUAGUCC
This 292-nucleotide ribosomal RNA is filed under the name uncultured bacterium. RNAcentral's name for it is "partial 16S ribosomal RNA". It matches the Rfam family "Archaeal small subunit ribosomal RNA", at positions 455 to 747 of the family's 1478-position model. The record is from RNAcentral.